GACGAACGCUGGCGGCGUGCUUAAUACAUGCAAGUCAACUUGACUUUAGAUAGCAAUAUCGAAAAGUAGGGUGGCGCACGGGUGCGUAACGCGUAGGUAAUCUGCCCUGAGGUCUGACAUAACCCGUCGAAAGGCGGGCUAACAUCAGAUGAUAUAUAAUCACGACAUCGUGGAAAUAUCAAAUCUUCGGAGCCUUGGGAUGAGCCUGCGUCUGAUUAGGUAGUUGGCGGAGUAAUAGCCCACCAAGCCUACGAUCAGUAGCUGGUCUGAGAGGAUGAUCAGCCACACUGGAACUGAGACACGGUCCAGACUCCUACGGGAGGCAGCAGUAAGGAAUAUUGCUCAAUGGGGGAAACCCGUGAAGCAGCAACGCCGCGUGAAGGAUGAAAU
This 390-nucleotide ribosomal RNA is filed under the name uncultured bacterium. Its description in RNAcentral is "bacterial SSU rRNA". It matches the Rfam family "Bacterial small subunit ribosomal RNA", at positions 28 to 414 of the family's 1533-position model. The record is from RNAcentral.